CAGCCGCCGCGGUAAUACCAGCCCCGCGAGUGGUCGGGACGGUUAUUGGGCCUAAAGCGCCCGUAGCCGGCCCGGCAAGUCCCUCCUUAAAGCCUCGGGCCCAACCCGAGGACGGGGGGGAUACUGCCGGGCUAGGGGGCGGGAGAGGCCGGCGGUACUCCCGGGGUAGGGGCGAAAUCCGUUAAUCCCGGGAGGACCACCAGUGGCGAAGGCGGCCGGCUGGAACGCGCCCGACGGUGAGGGGCGAAAGCCGGGGGAGCGAACCGGAUUAGAUACCCGGGUAGUCCCGGCGGUAAACGAUGCGGGCUAGCUGUUGGGCGGGCUUAGAGCCCGCCCAGUGGCGCAGGGAAGCCGUUAAGUCCGCCGCCUGGGGAGUACGGCCGCAAGGCUGAAACUUAAAGGAAUUGGCGG
RNAcentral lists this ribosomal RNA (411 nucleotides) under uncultured microorganism. RNAcentral describes it as "bacterial SSU rRNA". It matches the Rfam family "Archaeal small subunit ribosomal RNA", at positions 459 to 871 of the family's 1478-position model. The record is from RNAcentral.